RNAcentral lists this long non-coding RNA (722 nucleotides) under Zonotrichia albicollis (white-throated sparrow). RNAcentral describes it as "lncRNA (ENSZALG00000009338.1)". The record is from RNAcentral. Lineage: Eukaryota; Metazoa; Chordata; Aves; Passeriformes; Passerellidae.
GGACCUAUUCCUCCCGAACAGAACCUUGCAAACAUCCAUCAAACUGAUGAAUUUGUAGAACUUUUGUAUUUGGAAUGAUAUUUCUGUUGCGUCAUUCUUAAAUGCUGAAAAGAAAAAAAGAAGCAAGCAGCACAACAAACCCAGUGGUUUCAUUUUCAUGUCAGGUUUGGCUGAAUCUUCAGCUACCAAACCCAAGAGUCACUGGAUAUGGAGACAGCUCAAGACAAACUCACAUGGAUGUACAUGCAGGGCUCCUGAUCUCCUGAAGUCUUGAUGCCUCUGAGUUAAUGCACUGCCUUGUGAAAGGACUGCAUGCUGGGGUUUAAGAGAAAAGCUUUCCUACAUGCAGUGUCAUCUACUGGUGGCAGCCCAGGUCUUGGACUGUAUGACGCCCUCCUGCGGCCAGUGGGGUGCUUGCAUUCCUGAAACGAAACACUAUGACAGUUCUGUACACCUGCUAACAUCAUCCCCAGUGACCUCCAUAAUGGAAGAGAAAUUCAAGUUUUGCUACAACCAGUUCUGCCCCCUGGGCACUGGGCUGUACCUCAGUCCUCAGGUGCAUCGCCUUUGCUGGACCAUGUCACCUCUGCCAGACUCAGUGGCCUUGGAAGUGUCUCCAGCUGUAGUGACCUCCUUCUCCGAUGCCAGCAGCAACUGCAAUCUCUAAAACAUCUGUCAGGCCACCUGCCUGACUGCCAGGAAUAAAGCACACCCCGACAACA